UUCUAUGUGGGCUCGCAAACUAAACCCAACAACUGAUUAACACAGAGUCCAUGACCCGGUUAUUUCCCCAAAUCAGCUCUGUCAAAACCCUAGGAGUCCGUUGCCCGUGUCGGGUAGCAAUCCUAAAGAUGUCUUAACACCCGCCAUUUGUAUCCAUCCGGGUCGGGUUACGCUCCUCGGAUCCAUAACUGAAUCUAGGGUGUGGAGCUGAAAAAGGAAAUGGAGACUAUACAUUUUGCAAUUUCAAACAAGAGUAAAGGGAUAUGGUGAUAUUAGUUCACAGUUUCUAAUGACAUCAUUAAGCAAUAAAUAGACUUGUCUUGUAUUAAAGCAAAUGUUGUGGUCUUAGCAAUUGAUUAGGAAAAUCAAUUCUAAUGGUUCAAAUUCUAUAGGUGGUUGUCACAUUUUCGAGUGUUGAAUUGAACAGUCAGAAUUAGUUUUCGAAUCACUUGCAAAGGCCACAAGAUUCACUUUGAUGCAAGAUGAGUUGUUGAGUUGGUUAAGGGCGACAAUGCUUCUUGCGUCUGAUGGCAUGUGAUGAGGUGGCUCUAAGUAGCAUUUUCCGUUUAUUCUCUAUGAGCCAUCAAACAAUCGAGGUGUUAUCUGUCUGGAGUAGUGGUAGUGGUUUGCAAGGUUUGAAUGUUAUUGCUAAUGUAAAGGAUUAUAUUGGUCUGUCAGUUUGGUACAUAAAUGCCUCUUCAAUUGCUGUGUGUGUGUGUGUGUACAUACGUAAUGUGUGUGUGGAGUUCUUAGAGAAUCAUAUGGUUUUGUAAAUCUCUUCUUUUUUGGUAUAUCUCUUGUAUACAACCGCUGUGGCCAUGUUUAUGAAUGAAAAUACACUUGAUUGAAAAAAAAAAAAAAAAAACAAUCCUUUAUCAUGAUCCCUGCAUAAUCUAGUCCGCAAACCAAAUGGCCCUCAAGGUAUGAAUUGUGUAUGCCUAUUUCCUAUACGAAGACCUUGAGGACAUGCAACAAGUGAGCAGUAAGGCUGGCAUGUCUCUUGGUCAGAUGUCUCUCCAACUCUUUUAAACCAAGUAUUAUCAUAUUCAUGUUGGGAAUUACUCUUUUCAUAAGAAUUGAUAUGUAUGCUAAAUGUACUUGUCAAAUUAUUUGAUCAGUGCAGCGGUAGAUCACAUGUCAUAAAAAAGAUAUGCCAUUAAUUGAAAAUACCUUACAUGUUCCUAAAGAUAAUUUCUUGAAAAAGAUUGUGGUUGGAUUUUGUUAUGGUCUUUAUCUAUCUCUAUCACAAACCAAGUGCAAUGACUGACCACUCUUUUAGGAAAUAUUGGCAUAUCUCAGUGUCAACCAGGCUGUACUCUUUGCUUGUUCUGUCCUGUCUGAUCCCAUUGGUUGUGAUUUGUGACCCUUCAGCGGUCGUAUUAUUUGCAUUAGGGUGUAAAAAGGUACUCUAUUCAUCUAUUUUUCUGUGAAUUUGUACUCCUGAUGUUAGGCCAGUUUUACAAUAAGGGUAGCUGGUAGGUUCCAUUCAUACCAUUGUAAUCUCAAUGACCAUCGACUUAGCUUGUGCAGUCACAUUCGUUAGGCACUUGUAUGAGAGAUACAUUAACUCAACCACAGUAAUCUGUCAAUCUUAAACAAGAAUCGAGAUAAUCGCUUUUCUAGAGAUCACACACUUUAUAUCGUGAUUUGGUGUCAAAAAUAGUAAAGGAAAGGUGUAGCUUUAGACGAAGAAAUGGUAGUUUAUUAAUUCAGCAAUGUACAUGCAGUUAUAAAGAGGAAGGUAUGACAGAAUUUGUAUCCGACUUUGUCCCACAUCGUCUCAAAAGCAAGCAUUAGUUCUUUCGUUAAUCUAUUUAGCGGUCUCUAAUUAUGAACUUCAACACAUAGCUACUGGGCCUGCCUAAGUGCGGGCCCUUGAUGGCUCGAAUCUUGUCCGUGGGUUUGCUGGCACCUAUGGAUCCAGGAAGUAGUCCACAUUCUCAACUGUGCAUUUGCACAUGAAGCACCAGGUGACAGCUGACAUAUGUGAUCCUUCGCGUUCUCAUGUUCUCGGCUGUCAGCAUUGGACCCGAGCUGCGAAACCAAGCAAAUAAACACACCUUUCUUGGUGCUCAAGGCCUAGAUGUGUAACUUUCUUCAUUGUGCCUGGCAUCAUCCACUGUAUUGUGAACCAAUUCAGCAAUCUCACCACAGCCAUGUUGCCACUUUGCAAUGUAACAGGAAGUAGUCCACAUUCUCAACCGUGCAUAGCACAUGAAGCACCAGGUGACAGCUGACAUAUGUGAUCCUUUGCAUUCUCAUGUUCUCCGCUGUCAGCAUUGAACCCGCUUGCCAAACCAAGCAAAUAAAACACACCUUUCUUGGUGCUCAAGGUGUCUAAACCAAUAAAUGUGGGGCCACAUUCAAAUUCAAAUAGAAUUGUCUUCUGUAUCGUGCAUUCAAAGGCUGGAACUUGGAAAGCUAAAUGAAAACUGUAUGAGCAAGUUCUUUUUAAUUUAUAGCCAUACAAGUGUUUGGGAUCUCAUAACAUUUUUGGGAGGAGCAUAUGACAUUCAUAACAUUAUUUUAUUA
This is a long non-coding RNA of Lycium barbarum (goji berry), 2532 nucleotides long. RefSeq lists it as uncharacterized. The transcript is spliced from 4 exons. Lineage: Eukaryota; Viridiplantae; Streptophyta; Magnoliopsida; Solanales; Solanaceae. The record is from RefSeq and is a predicted model, not a curated record.